GAUGACGAGUGGCGGACGGGUGAGUAAUGCUUGGGAACUUGCCUUUGCGAGGGGGAUAACAGUUGGAAACGACUGCUAAUACCGCAUAAUGUCUUCGGACCAAACGGGGCUUCGGCUCCGGCGCAAAGAGAGGCCCAAGUGAGAUUAGCUAGUUGGUAAGGUAACGGCUUACCAAGGCGACGAUCUCUAGCUGUUCUGAGAGGAAGAUCAGCCACACUGGGACUGAGACACGGCCCAGACUCCUACGGGAGGCAGCAGUGGGGAAUAUUGCACAAUGAGGGAAACCUUGAUGCAGCCAUGCCGCGUGUGUGAAGAAGGCCCGAGGGUUGUAAAGCACUUUCAAUUGUGAGGAAGAUUAAGUAGCUAAUACCUGCUUAGUUUGACGUUAACUUUAGAAGAAGCACCGGCUAACUCUGUGCCAGCAGCCGCGGUAAUACAGAGGGUGCAAGCGUUAUUCGGAAUUACUGGGCGUAAAGCGCGCGUAGGCGGACUGUUAAGUCGGUUGUGAAAGCCCUGGGCUCAACCUAGGAACUGCAUCCGAUACUGGCAAUCUAGAGUUUAAGAGAGGGAAGUGGAAUUCCAGGUGUAGCAGUGAAAUGCGUAGAUAUCUGGAGGAACAUCAGUGGCGAAGGCGACUUCCUGGCUUAAAACUGACGCUGAGGUGCGAAAGCUUGGGUAGC
Molecule: ribosomal RNA, 680 nt
Filed under: uncultured bacterium
Lineage: Bacteria
Description: bacterial SSU rRNA
Rfam family: Bacterial small subunit ribosomal RNA
Source: RNAcentral